RNAcentral lists this ribosomal RNA (271 nucleotides) under uncultured prokaryote. Its description in RNAcentral is "partial 16S ribosomal RNA". It matches the Rfam family "Bacterial small subunit ribosomal RNA", at positions 524 to 792 of the family's 1533-position model. The record is from RNAcentral.
UACGUAGGUGGCGAGCGUUGUCCGGAUUUACUUGGGCGUAAAGGGAGCGUAGGCGGACUUUUAAGUUGAGAUGUGAAAUACCCGGGUUCAACUUGGGUGCUGCAUUUCAAACUGGAAGUCUAGAGUGCAGGAGAGGAGAAUGGAAUUCCUAGUGUAGCGGUGAAAUGCGUAGAGAUUAGGAAGAACACCAGUGGCGAAGGCGAUUCUCUGGACUGUAACUGACGCUGAGGCUCGAAAGCGUGGGGAGCAAACAGGAUUAGAUACCCUGGUA